RNAcentral lists this ribosomal RNA (354 nucleotides) under uncultured bacterium. RNAcentral's name for it is "bacterial SSU rRNA". It matches the Rfam family "Bacterial small subunit ribosomal RNA", at positions 917 to 1294 of the family's 1533-position model. The record is from RNAcentral.
GGGCCCGCACAAGCGGUGGAGUAUGUGGUUUAAUUCGAUGCAACGCGAAGAACCUUACCAGGGUUUGACAUCCUGCGAAUCUCUUGGAAACGAGAGAGUGCCUUCGGGAGCGCAGUGACAGGUGGUGCAUGGCUGUCGUCAGCUCGUGUCGUGAGAUGUUGGGUUAAGUCCCGCAACGAGCGCAACCCACGUCUUUAGUUGCCAGCAUUUAGUUGGGCACUCUAUGGAAACUGCCCGUGAUAAGCGGGAGGAAGGUGUGGAUGACGUCAAGUCCUCAUGGCCCUUACGGGUUGGGCUACACACGUGCUACAAUGGUAGUGACAAUGGGUUAAUCCCAAAAAGCUAUCUCAGUUC